RNAcentral lists this ribosomal RNA (492 nucleotides) under uncultured bacterium. Its description in RNAcentral is "partial 16S ribosomal RNA". It matches the Rfam family "Bacterial small subunit ribosomal RNA", at positions 28 to 507 of the family's 1533-position model. The record is from RNAcentral.
GAUGAACGCUAGCUACAGGCUUAACACAUGCAAGUCGAGGGGAAACGACAUCGUAAGCUUGCUUUUGAUGGGCGUCGACCGGCGCACGGGUGAGUAACGCGUAUCCAACCUGCCCACCACUUGGGGAUAACCUUGCGAAAGUAAGACUAAUACCCAAUGAUAUCUCUAGAAGACAUCUGAAAGAGAUUAAAGAUUUAUCGGUGAUGGAUGGGGAUGCGUCUGAUUAGCUUGGUGGCGGGGUAACGGCCCACCAAGGCAACGAUCAGUAGGGGUUCUGAGAGGAAGGUCCCCCACAUUGGAACUGAGACACGGUCCAAACUCGUACGGGAGGCAGCAGUGAGGAAUAUUGGUGAAUGGACGAGAGUCUGAACCAGCCAAGUAGCGUGCAGGAAGACGGCCCUAUGGGUUGUAAACUGCUUUUAUAAGGGAAUAAAGUGAGUCUCGUGAGACUUUUUGCAUGUACCUUAUGAAUAAGGACCGGCUAAUUCCGUG